Molecule: transfer RNA, 68 nt
Filed under: Pieris rapae (cabbage white)
Lineage: Eukaryota; Metazoa; Arthropoda; Insecta; Lepidoptera; Pieridae
Description: tRNA-Arg
Source: RNAcentral
AAAUAAGAAGCAAUUCCCAUGCAUUUAAUUUCGACUUAAAAGACAGAGUAAAAAAUACUCCUUAUUUA